Molecule: long non-coding RNA, 260 nt
Organism: Hirundo rustica (Barn swallow)
Lineage: Eukaryota; Metazoa; Chordata; Aves; Passeriformes; Hirundinidae
Exons: 3
Source: RefSeq, a predicted model, not a curated record
GUCCUUGCAGCCUGAGCAGCAGAGUGGUCCCAAACUGUGGGAGUGAAUGAACCCGUGAGCAGAACUUGCUGCGCUUCUGGGCACCGGGGCCAUACACAAUUUCAUCGGAGUGCUGAUGGCAUGUGGAGCACCACUUCUCUGAGUGACUGAGGGGCUCUGCUGAGCUCCUCUCAAGGAACCUCCCAUGGCUCCAGCUGCUACUGUGUCUGAAAUCUCUAGAGACAUACUGCAUUUUUCUGAAUGCUGUCAAAAUUCUUUCA